This 76-nucleotide transfer RNA is filed under the name Eubacteriales bacterium. Its description in RNAcentral is "tRNA-Pro". It matches the Rfam family "tRNA". Rfam says of the family: Transfer RNA (tRNA) molecules are approximately 80 nucleotides in length. Their secondary structure includes four short double-helical elements and three loops (D, anti-codon, and T loops). Lineage: Bacteria; Bacillati; Bacillota; Clostridia; Eubacteriales. The record is from RNAcentral.
CCGGGUGUAGCGGAGCUGGUACCGCGCCACAUUUGGGAUGUGGAGAUCGCACGUUCGAAUCGUGUCACUCGGACCA